This is a long non-coding RNA of Ctenopharyngodon idella (grass carp), 942 nucleotides long. RefSeq lists it as uncharacterized. NCBI's taxonomy places the organism in Eukaryota, Metazoa, Chordata, Actinopteri, Cypriniformes, Xenocyprididae. The record is from RefSeq and is a predicted model, not a curated record. The transcript has 4 exons.
GUGCGGGCCAGUGGGGAAGUGGGGAGGGGGGACAAUCGCGCUCAGGCUCGGUUCAAGGCAACCAUGCCUAGUGUGAGUACACCCUAACUCAGGAACACACUGCUGGGAUGUGGAGGUUAAAGAGUUUCUGCUGGAUUCACGGAGUAACUAUAGCAUCAAACCAAAGGAAGGGAUGUGAUUGUUUUAACACUGAUGUCUGGAGUGUGGAGUAUGAACAGGAAGGACUGUCUGAACCAUCUGGCUUUUGUAAUAAACGAAAGCUUGAUCAUGUUUGGAAUGCAGUGUAAGCUUUGCAAAUUUGCCCACAGUAUACUAGCAGAGAGGUCCUCUUGAAACAUUACAGGUUUCACCACUAUCAAGGGUGAUCCUGGAAGCAGCCUUGCUUGUUACUGACUGCAUCUGCACUUUCAAAACCACCUCAGAUAUCCUUGCUCAAAGAAAGGCAACAGCUCUCAAAGGGCUCCCUGUGUUUAUGAGGGAAAAGUCAGAAAACGUCCUGAAGACCUGCCUGGUUUUCUCCUCUGCUAUUGACGCUUGCUGGUUGGUGCGAGAUGCAUUCUGGGAUACCUGGCUGUCUCAAGUCCGCAGAAGUCACCUCUUGAUGCAUCCUCGAUAAAAGGGACGGAUCAAGAACACAUCCGGGUAUUUGAACUGUACUUGGCUAGAUAUGAACUUUGAAUUGGAACAGAACUUGAAACUGAUGAGUUUCACAAGAACAGACAAGAACGUAUAUUGAGAAACGGCCCUGAAAUGGGUGUGUCAGAUAUAGAGAGACAUACAAAAUGUGCAGGACAGGUUUGAGAACCAAUGUGAUACAGCAUUAACCUUUUAGCCUGAAUCUUUCAAUUCUGAAACGCCGUAACACGUGCCUGAAGUAGCAUAAUAAAAAAAACCUGCAGUACGUUCCUGUGCCAACGUAAUAAAAACGUGCCAUGUAUUGAA